AUAAGGUUAAGUUAAUAAGGGCGCACGGUGGAUGCCUUGGCACUAGAAGCCGAUGAAGGACGUGACUAACGACGAAAUGCCUUGGGGAGCUGUAAGUAAGCAAUGAUCCAGGGAUGUCCGAAUGGGGGAACCCGGCAGGUAAUGCCUGUCACUCACUACUGUUAAGGUAGUGUAGAGGAAGACGCAGUGAACUGAAACAUCUAAGUAGCUGCAGGAAGAGAAAGCAAAAGCGAUUGCCUUAGUAGCGGCGAGCGAAACGGCAGGAGGGCAAACCGAAGAGUUUACUCUUCGGGGUUGUAGGACUGCAAUGUGGACUUAAAGAGUAUAGAAGAAUUACCUGGGAAGGUAAGCCAAAGAGAGUAAUAGCCUCGUAUUUGAAAUAUUCUUUAUACCUAGCAGUAUCCUGAGUACGGCGAGACACGCGAAAUCUCGUCGGAAUCCGGGAGGACCAUCUCCCAACCCUAAAUACUCUCUAGUGACCGAUAGUGAACCAGUACCGUGAGGGAAAGGUGAAAAGUACCCCGGAAGGGGAGUGAAAUAGAACCUGAAACCGUGUGCCUACAACAAGUUCGAGCCCGUUAAUGGGUGAGAGCGUGCCUUUUGUAGAAUGAACCGGCGAGUUACGAUAUGAUGCGAGGUUAAGUUGAAGAGACGGAGCCGUAGGGAAACCGAGUCUUAAUAGGGCGCAUUAGUAUUAUGUCGUAGACCCGAAACCAUGUGACCUACCCAUGAGCAGGUUGAAGG
RNAcentral lists this ribosomal RNA (744 nucleotides) under Streptococcus suis. RNAcentral describes it as "partial 23S ribosomal RNA". It matches the Rfam family "Bacterial large subunit ribosomal RNA", at positions 1 to 751 of the family's 2925-position model. Lineage: Bacteria; Bacillati; Bacillota; Bacilli; Lactobacillales; Streptococcaceae. The record is from RNAcentral.